This is a long non-coding RNA of Populus euphratica (Euphrates poplar), 513 nucleotides long. RefSeq lists it as uncharacterized. NCBI's taxonomy places the organism in Eukaryota, Viridiplantae, Streptophyta, Magnoliopsida, Malpighiales, Salicaceae. The record is from RefSeq and is a predicted model, not a curated record. The transcript is spliced from 2 exons.
ACACAUUUAUGAUCUACUCUUAACAUUUACGAUCAACUGGUACACUGCACUACACUUUUAGACGGCGUUACUUGGAGGCGGGCAUCACAUGGAAGCAUCUGCAUCAAUUUGUGAAUCCCAACAUCUUUUUCUUAUAUCGGAGGGCCUACAACAGAGAAGUCAUGCUAGUUAUCCAUGUCUAACAUUUAGAAGAUACUUUAUGAAUUCAACCUUCAGCAAAAUCUCACGGUACAAGUCAUCAUGCUUUUCAUUCUCACAUAAUUCUGAGUUGAGAUGAAUGGGGUCCAAUGCUCUUGCAAAUCACCUUGAGUUACUAGCAAAGCUCCAUCCCCACUUUUUUUUUAUUACAGUGACAACAGUGGCUUCAAACGAGAAGAUUGUAGAAGACACCAGCCCUUUUUUUCCCAGGAGACUGCAGAGCACGAUUUACCAUCUAAUAUAGGGCACAGACUUACUGCACUGUAAUAACACUGCAAAAGGAGACAAACUGCGCCCUCAUGACCUUCCAAAAAA